This 406-nucleotide ribosomal RNA is filed under the name uncultured bacterium. Its description in RNAcentral is "partial 16S ribosomal RNA". It matches the Rfam family "Bacterial small subunit ribosomal RNA", at positions 30 to 526 of the family's 1533-position model. The record is from RNAcentral.
AUUGAACGCUGGCGGCAGGCUUAACACAUGCAAGUCGAGCGAGCGGCGGCCGGGUGAGUAAUGUAUGGGAAACUGCCUGAUGGAGGGGGAUAACUACUGGAAACGGUAGCUAAUACCUCAUACCAUCAGAUGUGCCCCUAUGGGAUUAGCUAGUGGGUGGGGUAAGGGCUCACCUAGGCGACGAUCCCUAUCUGGUCUGAGAGGAUGACCAGCCACACUGGAACUUAGCCACGGGCCAGACUCCUACGGGAGGCAGCAGUGGGGAAUAUUGCACAAUGGGCGCAAGCCUGAUGCAGCCAUGCCGCGUGUGUGAAGAAGGCCUUCGGGUUGUAAAGCACUUUCAGCGAGGAGGCGUUACUCGCAGAAGAAGCACCGGCUAACUCCGUGCCAGCAGCCGCGGUAAUAC